CACGUAGGGGGCGAGCGUUGUCCGGAUUUAUUGGGCGUAAAGAGCUCGUAGGCGGCUCAGUAAGUCAGGUGUGAAAACUCCAGGCUCAACCUGGAGACGCCACUUGAUACUGCUGUGGCUAGAGUCCGGUAGGGGAGCAUGGAAUUCUUGGUGUAGCGGUGAAAUGCGUAGAUAUCAAGAGGAACACCUGCGGCGAAGGCGGGUUGCUGGGCCGACACUGACGCUGAGGCGCGAAAGCCAGGGGAGCGAACGGG
Molecule: ribosomal RNA, 254 nt
Filed under: uncultured bacterium
Lineage: Bacteria
Description: partial 16S ribosomal RNA
Rfam family: Bacterial small subunit ribosomal RNA
Source: RNAcentral